AAGGAAUAAGCACCGGCUAAUUCCGUGCCAGCAGCCGCGGUAAUACGGAAGGUGCAAGCGUUAUCCGGAAUCACUGGGUUUAAAGGGUGCGUAGGCGGUUGCGUAAGUCAGAAGUGAAAGCUCACAGCUUAACUGUGGAAUUGCUUUUGAUACUGCGCGACUAGAAUCAGGUUGAGGUUGGCGGAAUGUGACAUGUAGCGGUGAAAUGCAUAGAUAUGUCAUAGAACACCAAUUGCGAAGGCAGCUGACUGGACCUGUAUUGACGCUGAGGCACGAAAGCGUGGGGAGCGAACAGGAUUAGAUACCCUGGUAGUCCACGCCCUAAACGAUGCUUACUCGAUGUGUGAAUUAUUGCGCAUCCAAGGGAAACCGUUAAGUAAGCCACCUGGGGAGUACGUUCGCAAGAAUGAAACUCAAAUGAAUUGACGG
This 429-nucleotide ribosomal RNA is filed under the name uncultured Flavobacteriia bacterium. RNAcentral describes it as "bacterial SSU rRNA". It matches the Rfam family "Bacterial small subunit ribosomal RNA", at positions 481 to 916 of the family's 1533-position model. The record is from RNAcentral. Lineage: Bacteria; Pseudomonadati; Bacteroidota; Flavobacteriia.